Molecule: ribosomal RNA, 447 nt
Filed under: Lyreidus tridentatus
Lineage: Eukaryota; Metazoa; Arthropoda; Malacostraca; Decapoda; Lyreididae
Description: partial 12S small subunit ribosomal RNA
Source: RNAcentral
AAAGGUGAAAUUAAUUUAUUAAUUAUAAAUUAUAUUGUAUUAUUGAAGCUAAAAAGAUUUAGGGGUAAAAUAGGAUUAGAUACCCUAAUAUACUAAAUUUAAAAAUAGAAACCAAAAUAUUAAUAGUUAUGUUCUUUAAACUUAAAGAAUUUGGCGGUGUUUUAGUCUAGUCAGAGGAACCUGUUUCUAGUAAACGAUAAACCACGCAUAAUCUUGCUUUAGUUUGUAUACCGUCAUUAUUAGAUGAUUUUAAAAAGAUAAAUUAUUAUAAAAGAGUAUAAUCUAGUAUAUUAGAUCAAGGUGCAGCUAAUGAUAAAGUGGAAAUGGGUUACAAUAAAUUUAAUUUAUACGGAUCUAACAUUAGUGAAGGAGGAUUUGAUAGUAUUUAAAGUUAAUAAGUUUAAAUGAUAGAAGCUCUAAAACAUGUACAUAUCGCCCGUCGCUUUC